RNAcentral lists this ribosomal RNA (332 nucleotides) under uncultured bacterium. RNAcentral's name for it is "bacterial SSU rRNA". It matches the Rfam family "Bacterial small subunit ribosomal RNA", at positions 568 to 898 of the family's 1533-position model. The record is from RNAcentral.
CGUGUAGGCGGGAAUACAAGUCAGAUGUGAAAUACCGAGGCUUAACCUCGGGGCUGCAUCUGAAACUGUGUUUCUUGAGUGUCGGAGAGGAAAGUGGAAUUCCCAGUGUAGCGGUGAAAUGCGUAGAUAUUGGGAGGAACACCAGUGGCGAAGGCGACUUUCUGGACGAUAACUGACGCUGAGGCGCGAAAGCGUGGGGAGCAAACAGGAUUAGAUACCCUGGUAGUCCACGCUGUAAACGAUGGAUACUAGGUGUAGGAGGUAUCGACCCCUUCUGUGCCGGAGUUAACACAAUAAGUAUCCCGCCUGGGGAGUACGGCCGCAAGGUUGAA